This 278-nucleotide ribosomal RNA is filed under the name uncultured bacterium. RNAcentral describes it as "partial 16S ribosomal RNA". It matches the Rfam family "Bacterial small subunit ribosomal RNA", at positions 793 to 1055 of the family's 1533-position model. The record is from RNAcentral.
GUCCUAGCUGUAAACGAUGGGCACUGGGCAAUGGGUUUUCCUAUGAUGUUCAUUGCCGGAGCAAAAUGUGUUAAGUGCCCCGCCUGGGGAGUACGCUCGCAAGGGUAAAAACUCAAAAGGAAUUGACGGGGGAUCACACAAGCGGUGGAGCAUGUGGUUCAAUUCGAAGCAAACGCGAAGAACCUUACCUGGCCUUGACAUGUACGGAUUAAUUCCUGUGAAAGCAGGAGGACAGCUCUUCGGAGUCGGAACGUACACAGGUGUUGCAUGGCUGUCGU